This 498-nucleotide ribosomal RNA is filed under the name uncultured bacterium. RNAcentral describes it as "partial 16S ribosomal RNA". It matches the Rfam family "Bacterial small subunit ribosomal RNA", at positions 28 to 507 of the family's 1533-position model. The record is from RNAcentral.
GACGAACGCUGGCGGCGUGCCUAAUACAUGCAAGUCGAACGAGAGCAACCGGUGCUUGCACUGGUCAAUCUAGUGGCGAACGGGUGAGUAACACGUGGGUAACCUGCCCAUCAGAGGGGGAUAACAUCCGGAAACGGAUGCUAAAACCGCAUAGGUCUUCGAACCGCAUGGUUUGAAGAGGAAAAGAGGCGCAAGCUUCUGCUGAUGGAUGGACCCGCGGUGCAUUAGCUAGUUGGUGAGGUAACGGCUCACCAAGGCCGUGAUGCAUAGCCGACCUGAGAGGGUGAUCGGCCACAUUGGGACUGAGACACGGCCCAAACUCCUACGGGAGGCAGCAGUAGGGAAUCUUCCGCAAUGGACGCAAGUCUGACGGAGCAACGCCGCGUGAGUGAAGAAGGUUUUCGGAUCGUAAAACUCUGUUGUUAGAGAAGAACAAGUGCUAGAGUAACUGUUAGCGCCUUGACGGUAUCUAGCCAGAAAGCCACGGCUAACUACGUG